RNAcentral lists this ribosomal RNA (139 nucleotides) under uncultured eukaryote. RNAcentral's name for it is "partial 18S ribosomal RNA". It matches the Rfam family "Eukaryotic small subunit ribosomal RNA", at positions 1299 to 1458 of the family's 1831-position model. The record is from RNAcentral.
UGGUGGGUUGCCUUGUCAGGUUGAUUCCGGUAACGAACGAGACCUCAGCCUGCUAAAUAGUCACGGUUGCUUUUUGCAGCCGGCCGACUUCUUAGAGGGACUUUGGCGCCUUAGCCAAAGGAAGUGUGAGGCGAUAACA